This 831-nucleotide unclassified non-coding RNA is filed under the name Hevea brasiliensis (rubber tree). The record is from RNAcentral. Lineage: Eukaryota; Viridiplantae; Streptophyta; Magnoliopsida; Malpighiales; Euphorbiaceae.
GGACUUGAUAUUGGAUGGGGCCAGGUAAUAUUUCUGUAUGAACUCAUCUCUGUGUACUUUAAAAUAGUAUUUAGAAUGGGGUUAUGAUAACUACUGAUAAAAUAUGGACAGCACAGUCUGUUUUGACUUGAGAGAUGCUAGCACAUCACUACUUCAUGAACACAAAAUGUCAUAUGGGUUUCCAUAUAAAUACACCUGGUGUCCUAUAGUCACAUUUCUUGUGUGUGUGUGUGUGUAUGCGUGCAUGUGCACACUUUCUUAUUUGAUCUCUAUGUAUGUUUAUAUACGUUUGAUAUAUUAUAACUUACGAACAUGAUAUAAGGUGAAUGCUACUUUAAAAUACAUCCUGCAUGCUUUACAAAUGCUCCUUAAAAGAAAACCUGUAAUUCCCCAUGUUCAAGCAAGUGGUAAAGUUGCUUCAGUUCAAAGGAAGAAAAAAAAAAUUGAUUGCUUUCUGUCUAACUAGUUGGAAAUAUAAUUCAUGAAUGGUAGUGCCGGAGAAGAUGUCUUGGGCUGGUUUCUUGGCAGUGCCCAUGCAUUAUGAAUUUGCAUGUGGGCAUGAAAUAAUGUAAAGGCACACUUUGCAUUUUCACUUUCCUUUGAUAAAUAAGCAGUUAAGCACACAUAAGAGGCCAUUAGAUUUAUAUUACAGCUGUUAAUUGAAUGUAUAAUAUAAAACAUGGACCUUAGAAAUAUGUGAUUUUCAUGAAUCAAGAAAACUUUUCCUCAAGCUAACCCUUUAUGGGCUAUGGCUGAUGGACAUUUUAUUUAGAAGCAUGGCACCUGAAGUUAUUUUCAACCUUAGCUUAGUGGAUGCUUAUAAAAAAAAAU